AGUAGCUCGGUGGUAGAGUGCUUGCCUAGCAUGCAUGAGGUCCUGGGUUCAAUCCCCAGUACUA
Molecule: transfer RNA, 64 nt
Filed under: Ictidomys tridecemlineatus (thirteen-lined ground squirrel)
Lineage: Eukaryota; Metazoa; Chordata; Mammalia; Rodentia; Sciuridae
Description: Spermophilus tridecemlineatus (thirteen-lined ground squirrel) tRNA
Rfam family: tRNA
About the family: Transfer RNA (tRNA) molecules are approximately 80 nucleotides in length. Their secondary structure includes four short double-helical elements and three loops (D, anti-codon, and T loops).
Source: Rfam by way of RNAcentral